This 515-nucleotide ribosomal RNA is filed under the name uncultured bacterium. RNAcentral's name for it is "partial 16S ribosomal RNA". It matches the Rfam family "Bacterial small subunit ribosomal RNA", at positions 28 to 523 of the family's 1533-position model. The record is from RNAcentral.
GACGAACGCUGGCGGCGUGCCUAAUGCAUGCAAGUCGAACGCUUCCUACCGGUGCUUGCACCGGGAAAGAAGAGUGGCGGACGGGUGAGUAACACGUGGGUAACCUACCUACAAGCGGGGGAUAACAUUCGGAAACGGAUGCUAAUACCGCAUAGAUCUUUUUGUCUCCUGGCAGAAAGAAGAAAGACGGUUUCGGCUGUCACUUGUAGAUGGACCCGCGGCGCAUUAGUUAGUUGGUGAGGUAAUGGCUCACCAAGACGAUGAUGCGUAGCCGACCUGAGAGGGUGAUCGGCCACACUGGGACUGAGACACGGCCCAGACUCCUACGGGAGGCAGCAGUAGGGAAUCUUCCGCAAUGGACGAAAGUCCGACGGAGCAACGCCGCGUGAGUGAAGAAGGUUUUCGGAUCGUAAAACUCUGUUGUUAGAGAAGAACAAGGAUGAGAGUAACUGCUCGUCCCUUGACGGUAUCUAACCAGAAAGCCAUGGCUAACUACGUGCCAGCCGCCGCUGUAA